AUGGCAAAUAGUACUUUAAUGAUCUGUUUGAAAAACAUUGUGAGGUCCAUCAUUGAGAUAUUCGAAGAAGAAUAUCUUCGAGCUCCAAAUGAUGAGGGCAUUGUAGACUUUCUUAGAUGGGUGAAUCGAAAGGCUUUCCCUUCAUGCUUGGAAGCAUUGAAUCCAUGCAUUGGAUGUGGAACCCUUGUCCUACAACAUUGUAUGGACAAUUCAAAGGAUAAGAUAGCAUUUUUUUGCAAGGCUUUCUGUUCGAGAGGCGCCUCCAGUGAAUUUAGAAAUCGAUGGGCGUCAAUGACAUGGGCUACUAUCUUGCUGAUGACAUAUAUAAUGCAUGGUUAA
This 339-nucleotide ribosomal RNA is filed under the name Triticum aestivum (bread wheat). Its description in RNAcentral is "partial small subunit ribosomal RNA". The record is from RNAcentral. Lineage: Eukaryota; Viridiplantae; Streptophyta; Magnoliopsida; Poales; Poaceae.